UACGUAGGCAGCAAGCGUUGUUCGGAGUUACUGGGCGUAAAGGGUGCGUAGGCGGUCCUGUAAGUAUGGUGUGAAAUCUCCUGGCUUAACUGGGAGGGUGCGCCGUAGACUGCGGGACUAGAGGGUGGGAGAGGAAAGUGGAAUUCCUGGUGUAGCGGUGAAAUGCGUAGGUAUCAGGAGGAACACCAGUGGCGAAGGCGAGUCCCUGGACAACUCCUGACACUAAGGCACGAAAGCUAGGGGAGCAAACAGG
RNAcentral lists this ribosomal RNA (253 nucleotides) under uncultured prokaryote. RNAcentral describes it as "partial 16S ribosomal RNA". It matches the Rfam family "Bacterial small subunit ribosomal RNA", at positions 524 to 776 of the family's 1533-position model. The record is from RNAcentral.